AAAUUGAAGAGUUUGAUCAUGGCUCAGAUUGAACGCUGGCGGCAGGCCUAACACAUGCAAGUCGAACGGUAACAGGAAGCAGCUUGCUGUUUCGCUGACGAGUGGCGGACGGGUGAGUAAUGUCUGGGAAACUGCCUGAUGGAGGGGGAUAACUACUGGAAACGGUAGCUAAUACCGCAUAACGUCGCAAGACCAAAGAGGGGGACCU
This 208-nucleotide ribosomal RNA is filed under the name Escherichia coli. Its description in RNAcentral is "partial 16S ribosomal RNA". It matches the Rfam family "Bacterial small subunit ribosomal RNA", at positions 1 to 215 of the family's 1533-position model. The record is from RNAcentral. Lineage: Bacteria; Pseudomonadati; Pseudomonadota; Gammaproteobacteria; Enterobacterales; Enterobacteriaceae.